UUGCUUCGUGCUUGUCGUCGAUGUUUGC
This 28-nucleotide small RNA is filed under the name Bombyx mori (domestic silkworm). RNAcentral describes it as "ovarian small RNA-37963". Lineage: Eukaryota; Metazoa; Arthropoda; Insecta; Lepidoptera; Bombycidae. The record is from RNAcentral.